CAAUCGAGAUAACAGCAAUGACUGUGACAGAGAAACGCCUGAUCAAAGAAUCAAAAACAUAAACAGCGUAAAAUGUUUACCCAGUGAUGUUAUAAACGGGAUUGCCAAGAGUGCCUCUAAUGAAGCCAGGUUAACUUGCAGACAAAAUUAAAACCCAGCUCCCUCCCAACACGGUCCGUUACUGGGCCCAGACCGCAGCAACCGCAACGCCCACUGCCACUUCUCCAACUGCGCAGCCGCACACUCUCCACGGCUCUCCGGCCCCCUCCCAUCUGCCGCAGUUAGGAAAGGCCGAGAAGUGCGGGCGGAGCCGCCCCCGCCCUCCGCAAAGCCAGCCCAAUGGCGGCCUCGCGGGCGCGUCACAGCGGGUGGAAGCCGGAUUCUCGCGACGCCACGACCGCGCCUGCGCCAACGGGGCGGGCGCUCUGCGGCCACAAAAUGGCGGCGGUGGAAUCAACAGCAGCAGAGCCGCGCGUGCCAAAUUCUCUUUUCCCUCCUCCUCCCAACUCCACCGUUCUUGGGGUCACUGCGGCCGCCCUCCAAAAGGCCCAGCCGCAUCGCCAGCAAAGUCAGGGAGAUCCCGGCCCACUACUCUACGUGUCCGGGAGAUGAAGACGUUAAGACCGGCAGGGAGGGGCGCACAACCGCUGUGUAAAAACGACCCUAACAGUGACCGCCCUUCCACCUCAGUCCCCCUCAAACAGUAUGCCAAAAGGGAGACGUGCCCCAGCGCCCACCUCGAAUCAACUGCGCUCAUUAGACGCCGUCCUCCGCAAAGAGAGCAGCCCCAGCCGCUCACGAAUUGAGCGGCCAUGAAGAAGCCUCGAUCCGAGAAGGCUUGCCCUCAAAGUGAGCCACUCACCUACCGGACGGGGUCUUUAGCGGCUGAGACCCAGACAGGUCCGUAGUCUGCGACGGAGUCGUCGGCCUCCACGCAGACCAGGACUUAACUCGUCUACGCCUCUCCACAACUGACGCACUUAGCAGCUCUGGCACUCCACAAAAUGGAGGCCGCAUCUCUGCGUCACUUCCGGGGACGCCCCUGGGCCUUGGGUCCACCCUGUUGGACCCAGGGAAGACGGAAGUUUUGGGAGGGCCGGAAAUUUCGGGGAACGUGCGUCUCCUUUGACACUGUGAGUGACCGACCCUCCGCCCGCGGUGGGUGGGGCCGGAGGCGGGAACUCGCUUGGGCAUUGCCGGCAGGUGCCGGAGUCUGGAGGGACAUCGGUUGAAGUUGUUCGCCCCUUCUAAGUCCUUGGCGUUCGGUUCAUCAUCAUCUCUCCCAGAAGAGUCUCCUGAGACAAGUAUCAACCCUUCUUGUAUCUAAAGUUUUUCUUAGACACACACAAGAUUACUAAUUAGAAGAAACUUAGCUUUGCAGAAAUACCUGGCCUUUGCUUAUCUCUCGCCCUCAAAGCAGAGAGCUCCUAGAUGUUCGAGUUCUUUUUUCAGCCAUGCCACAGCUGUAUGGUUUUGUUGUAGUGAGAAGACUAAGGAACUGAAGUAUUUUUUUAAAUGAAGGGGUUUUGACUGAUGAAAUGUUGAAAAUGGUACUGCAACUAGAAGGCUGUCUUGAAUUGAGGCUGGAAUACAGAUUUCUGCAUUUCCAUCACUCUGGGAGAGUGGUUGGAAAAGGUUUCAAGCUGCUUUUUUUUUUUUUUUGAGACGGAGUCUCGCUCAGUCGCCCAGGCUGGAGUGCAGUGGCGCCAUCUCGGCUCACUGCAAGCUCCGACUCCGGGUUCACACCAUUCUCCUACCUCAGCCUCCCGAGUAGCUGGGACCACGCCGGCUAAUUUUUUUUGUAUU
Mandrillus leucophaeus (drill) is the source of this 1806-nucleotide RNA transcript. RefSeq lists it as uncharacterized. NCBI's taxonomy places the organism in Eukaryota, Metazoa, Chordata, Mammalia, Primates, Cercopithecidae. The record is from RefSeq and is a predicted model, not a curated record. The transcript has a single exon.